Molecule: long non-coding RNA, 4391 nt
Organism: Choloepus didactylus (southern two-toed sloth)
Lineage: Eukaryota; Metazoa; Chordata; Mammalia; Pilosa; Megalonychidae
Exons: 6
Source: RefSeq, a predicted model, not a curated record
UCUUCCUUAACCAAACCUAAUGUACUACCCUCUCCCCAGUCUUUACAGAUAAGGAAACCAAGGCCUAGAAGUCAACUGAUCUUCAAGAUCAAGAGUUAGCUGGUGGCAGAGGCAGGACGAGAAUGCAGGCCUCCUAGCUUGCAAUCCUGCAUUCUUUCCAGUGCUGCUGCCUGUCUGAUAUCUAUUACAGAUGAUGGUGAUAGAAAUCAUAAGGGCAUUCACCUAUUUAUAUGAUGUCAACUUGAGGCUAGGGACUGUGGUAAGUGUUUUUCAUGGAUGAUUUCAUUUAAUCUUCAGAAUUAUAAACCUACAAGGUAGAUGAGGAAACAGAGGCUCAGAGAGAUGAAGCAUCUUCUCCAUGGCCCCAUUGCAGAAUCUUCUUGGGCCAUUGCUCCCUCGGAGAGAAGCAAAUCCUUCAUAGGGAAUGCUGGAUGUGCCUGUGACAAACUAGCAACCCAAGAAAACUGAAGUCAGAAAGCUGCAGCCAGGAAAGGCAUCACAUUGUUCACGUGCAGAGCUCCUGAGGAAGAGUAGCACGCUAUUUGCUGACGGACAAUUUUGUUAGAUGAAACCUUAUAGGUAUUGAACAAUCACAACACAAGGAAUCUGACAAACAGCCAGAGAAGAAUUCUGAAAAAGGACAGUGCAUUAUAAAAGGGAUGGGGGUGUGGGGAGUUUGCAGAAGAUAAAGCGCCCAGUGCAGAUGACCAGCUCUGAACCUCGGCCCAGGCACAUUUCCCAUUAUAGACGAAUCAAGUGGAUGCCAGUUAAUCUAAGUCUACUUAAAUACAGUCUCUGAUCAACUCAAGGUGAAAAAAAAUAGAAUUUCUGGUAUGCAAGUAUGAGGACCAGUUCCUUAAUCUGAAAGAGCUAAGGCUCCAGAGGGCUUCCUCACAUCUGAUAUUUCUUUAGCUGCAACCUUCCAGCAAUUGCUCUGGGUAACCAUAAAUACCACAAGAAAACAACAAGUUAGUUUUCCCGGAUGUCCCCUUGAACGUCACUGUUAUCUCAAAAUUGUGGAAAGUUAUAGGGAGGAAAAGAAAGGGCUCCUGAUUUAUUAAGGACCUGGAUCGCUUCCACUUCUUAAGGCAAUGAACAUCACGGCUAUCUGCUACUAGGGCUGCUGGCCUGCAGGAUACCUGGGGCCUCUUGCUGAAGGGGCCAAGCUGCCCUGCAGGCAGAUAAUUGCUCCUGGGAUUCUGGGACUGGAGGUGACAAUUCCUAAUGACUCUAAUGAAAUGAUUUGACUUGACGGAGGAUGUUGUGCACAGUGACAGAGCCACACAACAUGCAAUCAGAGGAGUCGGAAAACAGUGUAUCCCGCAUAUCCAGAUAAACAUGCCCAGAACCACCGAAUUACAAUAUGAUUGUCAUGGUAUCCUAUCAAACAAAUCAUGAAAGCCUGUAUUACUUUGACUCUUCCAUCCUAAGCCACACAGAUACAUGACAAAAGACUCCUAGACAUAAAUCACCAUCUUGGAUUUUUUAAAGGUUGUCUGUAGCUCGAGACUAAAGAAUAACAAUGCAAAUAUGAUCAUGAGUGUUGGAAGUCAAACAAAGAAAACACUAAAUGAAAUCAAGAGGUCUUUCCUUUAGUGGUCACCAAAUGAAACUGGUGGGGAGAAGACCAAUGAGAUUUGGGAGUUAUCCUGCCUGGCUGUUUGCCAUUUGGCCAGUGGACCCCUUUGGGGAAGAAAUGCAUCCACAUGAAGGACACAGAACUGGAGGCUCAGUGAGUGGCUGCUGUUUGCCAUUUGUACAGUCCCAAUCAGUGCCAGAGAAAGAACUGGAAUGCAGGUCGAUGACUUGGGUCCAAUAUUCUUUUCAACUAUAUUUUACUACCCCAAAAUAGUGUUCUUCAUGUUUGAGAUUAUUUACAUGUUUUUAUACUGUAUUUUAACUUUUUUAAAAAGACUAAUUUUGUGAGUCACGUUCAUAUACUUUCCCUGUUUCUUCAUGGUUCUUAUUAUUUCUGUGAUUCUGAAAACAGCAAGCUACAGAAUGUCUCUAUAAUUAUAAUGGUUUUCUAUAUUUUUCCCCUCUCCUUUCAUUUCAGAGGGAGGAUCUACAUUAGUGGAAUGACUAUUAUAUUUAGGACACUGUUAUAAGACGGUAGCAAUUGAUUUGCUUUAGUUUUAAAAUUUUCCUCCCAUCAGUCCAAUGUCAAGAGUCAUGUGGUUUAGUUUAAUCUAAACAUUUAUUGGGCAUCAACUAUAUGCCAGAUACCCCAAUAGCUACUUGAUGAAUAGUACUCACUCAGCCACUUCUCUAGAGGAGCUAACGCUGAAGAUGGGAGACAGGCAGACAAACAGGUUUGAGCUACUCCCCCACAGAUGGUUUGCCUUCUGCUCAUCCUUGCAAAUGACUACUGAUUAAAGGACAGAAACUGUUUGCCUCACAUUUUACAAUGUCUGUAAUCUUUCAUUACAAUAACAGUGAAGAAAAAGUUCCACAGACACUAAAUAUUCAUCUCCAUUAUCAACUGCUUUCUCGCAUACCAGGAGGUCUCAAGAAAAGGCCACUGCCCACCCCUAAAAACAAAACAAAAUAAAACAGAAACAAGAAAAAAGAGAAUAAAAACUGAACCCAAAGUAAGCAGUUGAAAGUUUGCAUAAAGAAAAAUAUAAAAUGCAUCUCAUAAAACACAGGGGCCUGUGAGUCACUGAGACUAACCCACAACUAUUCUAUUAAUAAUCGGCAUUAAUACCACAAAAAUCCCAAGGCUGCAUCUGAAGUACAAUUGUUUUGAAGAAACAUGUGUUGCAACAAAUGAGAAUAAAUUUUUCAGGGGCUAGACAGGAAUAAAGGGUCACAAGCAGGAAAAACACAGUAAACGUAUUUGAAAUCAUAUUACUUCCAGAAAUCUAAACCACUAUUAAGUUUAAUAACAACAGGUUUGAGAUAGCGAAAGAUAAACAAUGACUCUGACCAAGGACAUUUUUCAAUAAAGGAAAUAAUGCAUUUUUACAUGCUAAAUAUGUAAGCCAUAAAAAAUGCUCUUACAUUCUAAGAAGAGCUUUGUAAAACGGCCGAGUGAAGAAGGCAUCCAACAAAUACUGGUGUAUUAGUGCAAGACCGAGGAUCCGACCACUGAACCUGAACCUGAGGAGGAAAAGCGUCAGACAGCUUACACGUCAUGAAACAAUUUCUAAAUGAUUCUAUUUGCUUUCUAAGAUGCCUUCCAGUUCUAGACACCUAAAAGUUUGUCCAAGAUUAAAUGCCUACCAGAUCCACGCAUUUUGAGUGUAAUGUAGGACACACAAAAUUAUGAAUUAUUAGGCCAAUAAUUCAUAUCUACUUCAUGAUGAAAUCUGUUUCACUCUGAUAAUUAGAAAGACCACACUCCACCUGCACCCUGUCCAAUGAGUAGGACCCCCCCAUGGCCAACAAGAAAGCCCCUUUAGGCAUUUCAGUGAUACUUCCCCAAAACAUUUCUAAGAGAUGUUGAAUGAAUGAGACCUGUGGUGGUGAGGAAUACGUCCCCUUCUAGUUUGCUUGUAAGGGCAUUAGCAGGAUUUCUUUUAUACAGUUCCCUUCUGAGGAAAAGCCCAAUCUCAGAUUGAGAAAGUUUCUAUCUUUAUUCUUUCUUAAACCCCCCUCCUGAUGAUAAUUGUCACCAUCCAAGAAUUAGGCAUAUGGGCAUUUGGGGGAGUUUCCUCGUGGGACAUUCUGUUCUCUAAAAUUUCAAGGCUCAAUUCUAUUCUGAAUCACUUUGGAAACUUUACUAAAUAUACCUGUAAGUCUAUUUGUUCACUGAGAUGUAUACGUAUUUUCUCUUUCAAAUGUAUUACAGUUUCACGCUCUUUGAAAGUCCAAAAGUAGAAAUCCAUACUGAGGCUCACACUGUCAGUUUGUAAUGUUAGUAUUUAGGCAGCCACUUUAAGAUUAAUGUCCUGCAGCUUGUUUCUCUAUUUCCACUUAUGUCAGCACAUAUGUAAUAGCUACAGUUAGCUACUGUAGCUAAAAGGAAGUUGAUUGAAGAAUAAGUACUAAAAGUUAAUGCCCUCCACCCACCAAUAUUAACCUCAUGACUCAAAGAAGCUUUUUCCAUGAUUCCUAUUCAUGCUCUUUUCUUUGUUACUAUCUGUGAAUAUUAAUAGGAAUAAGCAAGGAAGGAUUACAAAAAUAUUUAAAAUAUAUAAAAGCAAGGAUUUUUUUUUUUUAAUUUAAGGACAUCUGAGAAGAAAGUAAUUUGGGAUUUUCAGAAUAAAGUAUCCCCAGAUAGGAAUCCUAAAUCAGUUUCAGUUUUCCUUGAUAAUUUUGCAUGAGGAAUUAGGAAAGAGCCAAGCCCUGAUUACAAACUUCAAAUGGCUAAUACAGCGAGCGAAUGGCUGCUGCUAGGACUACCUGCUCCCACCCUUCUGCCAUCAGCUCCUCCCCAGGCCAGGCCA